RNAcentral lists this ribosomal RNA (497 nucleotides) under uncultured bacterium. RNAcentral describes it as "partial 16S ribosomal RNA". It matches the Rfam family "Bacterial small subunit ribosomal RNA", at positions 28 to 507 of the family's 1533-position model. The record is from RNAcentral.
GAUGAACGCUGGCGGCGUGCCUAAUACAUGCAAGUCGAACGCACAGCGAAAGGUGCUUGCCCCUUUCACGUGAGUGGCGACCGGGUGAGUAACACGUCGACAACCUGUCUCUAUUCUGGGGAUAACAUUUGGAAACAGUUGCUAAUACCGAAUAAAACUUAUUGUCGCAUGACCCAAAGUUCAUAGGCGCUUCCGCGUCACCUUGAGAUGGUUCCGCGGUGCAUUAGUGAGUUGGUGGGGUAAAGGCCUACCAAGACAAUGAUGCAUAGCCGAGUUGAGAGAAUGAUCGGCCACAUUGGAACUGAGACACGGCCCAAACUCCUACGGGAGGCUGCAGUAGGGAAUCUUCCACAAUGGGCGAAAGCCUGAUGGAGCAACGCCGCGUGUGUGAUGAAGGCGUUCGGGUCGUAAAGCACUGUUGUAUGGGAAGAACAGCAAGAAUAGGAAAUGAUUUUAGUUUGACGGUACCAAAACAGAAAGGGACGGCUAAAUACGUG